Molecule: ribosomal RNA, 438 nt
Filed under: uncultured soil bacterium
Lineage: Bacteria
Description: bacterial SSU rRNA
Rfam family: Bacterial small subunit ribosomal RNA
Source: RNAcentral
AGAUUGAACGCUGGCGGCAUGCCUAACACAUGCAAGUCGAACGGGAGUAGCAAUACUCUAGUGGCGGACGGGUGAGGAAUACGUAGGAAUUUGCCCUUAAGUGGGGGAUAACCCGGGGAAACCCGGAUUAAUACCGCAUGACCUCGAAAGAGCAAAGUGGGGGAUCGCAAGACCUCACGCUUUUGGAGAAGCCUACGUCGGAUUAGCUAGUUGGUGAGGUAAUGGCUCACCAAGGCGACGAUCCGUAACUGGUCUGAGAGGAUGAUCAGCCACACCGGAACUGAGACACGGUCCGGACUCCUACGGGAGCAGCAGUGGGAAUAUUGGACAAUGGCGCAAGCCUGAUCCAGCAAUGCCGCGUGUGUGAAGAAGGCCGUUGGUUAGUAAAGCUAACGUUUAAGUUAGGGAAGAAAAAACGUACGUACGUACUAACACAGU